RNAcentral lists this ribosomal RNA (253 nucleotides) under uncultured bacterium. RNAcentral's name for it is "partial 16S ribosomal RNA". It matches the Rfam family "Bacterial small subunit ribosomal RNA", at positions 524 to 776 of the family's 1533-position model. The record is from RNAcentral.
UACGUAGGGUGCAAGCGUUAAUCGGAAUUACUGGGCGUAAAGGGCGCGUAGGCGGUUUAUCAAGUGAGAUGUGAAAUCCCCGGGCUUAACCUGGGAACUGCAUUUGUGACUGCAUAGCUGGAGUACGGCAGAGGGGGAUGGAAUUCCGCGUGUAGCAGUGAAAUGCGUAGAUAUGCGGAGGAACACCGAUGGCGAAGGCAGUCCCCUGGGCCUGUACUGACGCUCAUGCACGAAAGCGUGGGGAGCAAACAGG